Molecule: ribosomal RNA, 1425 nt
Filed under: metagenome
Description: bacterial LSU rRNA
Rfam family: Bacterial large subunit ribosomal RNA
Source: RNAcentral
UGAGAGCACAAGCCGGAAAUGGAAAAGCCGGUGCAAGCGAGGUAGGAGUACAGUAGGCAAAUCCGCUGUACAAUCCGAAGACGUGAUGCGGACCGAAUUAAGAGUGGGGAAGUGUGUGAGCCAUGCGUCAAGAAAAGCCGCUAUUGUUCUACUUAAGCCCGUACCGUAAGCCGACACAGGUGGAUGAGGAGAGAAUCCUAAGACCGACGGGAGAAGCAUUGUUAAGGAACUCGGCAAAAUGACUCCGUAACUUCGGGAGAAGGAGUGCCAGCGAGAGCUGGCCGCAGAGAAUUGGCCCAAGCAACUGUUUAGCAAAAACACAGGUCUAUGCAAAACCGUAAGGUGAAGUAUAUGGGCUGACGCCUGCCCGGUGCUGGAAGGUUAAGAGGAGAGGUUAGCGGCAACGCGAAGCUUUGAAUUUAAGCCCCAGUAAACGGCGGCCGUAACGAUAACGGUCCUAAGGUAGCGAAAUUCCUUGUCGGGUAAGUUCCGACCCGCACGAAAGGCGUAAUGAUUUGGGCACUGUCUCAACAAUGCACCCGGUGAAAUUGAAAUACCAGUGAAGAUGCUGGUUACCUGCGCCAGGACGGAAAGACCCCAUGGAGCUUUACUCCAGCUUGAUACUGGGAUUCGGUAUUGCAUGUACAGGAUAGGUGGGAGGCUAGGAAGUGAUAACGCCAGUUGUCACGGAGCCGCUGUUGGGAUACCACCCUUGCAGUAUUGGAUUUCUAACCAGCGACCAUGAACUGGUCGGGGGACAGUGUCAGGUGGGGAGUUUGACUGGGGCGGUCGCCUCCGAAAGGGUAUCGGAGGCGCUCAAAGGUUCCCUCAGAAUGGACGGAAACCAUUCGAAGAGUGCAAAGGCAGAAGGGAGCUUGACUGCGACACCGACGGGUGGAGCAGGUACGAAAGUAGGACUUAGUGAUCCGGUGGUAUAAAGUGGGAUUGCCAUCGCUCAACGGAUAAAAGCUACCCUGGGAUAACAGGCUUAUCACUCCCAAGAGUUCACAUCGACGGAGUGGUUUGGCACCUCGAUGUCGGCUCAUCGCAUCCUGGGGCUGAAGUAGGUCCCAAGGGUUGGGCUGUUCGCCCACUAAAGCGGUACGCGAGCUGGGUUCAGAACGUCGUGAGACAGUUCGGUCCCUAUCCGGCGUGGGCGUAGGAUAUUUGAGAGGAGCUGUCCUUAGUACGAGAGGACCGGGAUGGACUGGCCGCUGGUGUAUCUGUUGCAUACCAAAUGCAUGGCAGAGUAGCCAAGCCGGGACGGGAUAAACGCUGAAGGCAUCUAAGCGUGAAGCCCCCCUCAAGAUGAGAUAUCCCUACGUAAGUAGUAAGACCCCUUGAAGACGACGAGGUAGAUAGGUCAGAGGUGGAAGUACAGUAAUGUAUGGAGCUGAAUGAUACUAAUCGGUCGAGGGCAUGACC